UACGAAGGGGGCUAGCGUUGUUCGGAAUCACUUGGCGUAAAGCGCACGCAGGCGGAUCGAUAAGUCGGGGGUCAAAGCCCGGGGCUCAACCUCGGAAUUGUCUUCGAUACUGUCGGUCUCGAGUCCGGGAGAGGUGAGUGGAAUUCCUAGUGUAGAGGUGAAAUUCGUAGAUAUUAGGAAGAACACCAGUGGCGAAGGCGGCUCACUGGCCCGGUAUUGACGUUCAGGUGCGAAAGCGUGGGGAGCAAACAGG
RNAcentral lists this ribosomal RNA (253 nucleotides) under uncultured bacterium. RNAcentral's name for it is "partial 16S ribosomal RNA". It matches the Rfam family "Bacterial small subunit ribosomal RNA", at positions 524 to 776 of the family's 1533-position model. The record is from RNAcentral.